CCAAGUGGAACCGGGUGGCGCAUUAGGUUGAGAACAGUGUUUACAUAAAAUGGCUGUAAAUUCCCACCCGUUUCUGGCCCUUGAAUGCAUCAUGCCCCGUUUCUCCACCUUCACUUCCGUUCGCAGCAUUUGUCGGGCUCAUCAGUGUGUGUGUAGGCACCAGGUGUGCCCGCCAGGUUUAGAGAGUCCGGUCCAUUGUUGGAUCUGUCGGUUGAGCGCUGGCGCCGCCAACAUUUGGACCCUGCACAUUUGAGCUGCUGGAUGCAUUUCAGCGGUUCUUUACUUCAGCAUCUGUACGCUGUUGUGGCUGAUUAAGCACAACUCUUCAGCUUCUUCUUCCAGCGCCAGAGAACGUAGCGACCCGGUUGGCUGGAGCAAGUCACAUGGGCUACACGUCAACGUGACCCUUCAGAAUAAGAGAUUUUUCUCACACUUGACCGUUUUUAGCUGCUGACAAAAUAAGUGUGUUUUGUACGUUUUUAAACUAAAUAAAAUAUCAUAACAUGAA
Xiphophorus couchianus (Monterrey platyfish) is the source of this 508-nucleotide long non-coding RNA. RefSeq lists it as uncharacterized. The transcript is spliced from 3 exons. The record is from RefSeq and is a predicted model, not a curated record. NCBI's taxonomy places the organism in Eukaryota, Metazoa, Chordata, Actinopteri, Cyprinodontiformes, Poeciliidae.